Molecule: ribosomal RNA, 891 nt
Filed under: Acinetobacter lwoffii
Lineage: Bacteria; Pseudomonadati; Pseudomonadota; Gammaproteobacteria; Moraxellales; Moraxellaceae
Description: bacterial SSU rRNA
Rfam family: Bacterial small subunit ribosomal RNA
Source: RNAcentral
CGCUUACCUGCAGUCGAGCGGGGAAAUGUAGCUUGCUACUUUACCUAGCGGCGGACGGGUGAGUAAUGCUUAGGAAUCUGCCUAUUAGUGGGGGACAACAUCUCGAAAGGGAUGCUAAUACCGCAUACGUCCUACGGGAGAAAGCAGGGGACCUUCGGGCCUUGCGCUAAUAGAUGAGCCUAAGUCGGAUUAGCUAGUUGGUGGGGUAAAGGCCUACCAAGGCGACGAUCUGUAGCGGGUCUGAGAGGAUGAUCCGCCACACUGGGACUGAGACACGGCCCAGACUCCUACGGGAGGCAGCAGUGGGGAAUAUUGGACAAUGGGGGGAACCCUGAUCCAGCCAUGCCGCGUGUGUGAAGAAGGCCUUUUGGUUGUAAAGCACUUUAAGCGAGGAGGAGGCUACCGAGAUUAAUACUCUUGGAUAGUGGACGUUACUCGCAGAAUAAGCACCGGCUAACUCUGUGCCAGCAGCCGCGGUAAUACAGAGGGUGCAAGCGUUAAUCGGAUUUACUGGGCGUAAAGCGCGCGUAGGUGGCCAAUUAAGUCAAAUGUGAAAUCCCCGAGCUUAACUUGGGAAUUGCAUUCGAUACUGGUUGGCUAGAGUAUGGGAGAGGAUGGUAGAAUUCCAGGUGUAGCGGUGAAAUGCGUAGAGAUCUGGAGGAAUACCGAUGGCGAAGGCAGCCAUCUGGCCUAAUACUGACACUGAGGUGCGAAAGCAUGGGGAGCAAACAGGAUUAGAUACCCUGGUAGUCCAUGCCGUAAACGAUGUCUACUAGCCGUUGGGGCCUUUGAGGCUUUAGUGGCGCAGCUAACGCGAUAAGUAGACCGCCUGGGGAGUACGGUCGCAAGACUAAAACUCAAAUGAAUUGACGGGGGCCCGCACAAGCGGUG